CCUUCUCGCCUCAACUCAGUGCCUCCUUUCCUCUUCUUUCUUCUUGGUCAUUGACUUCAAAGGUCCAGUCCCCUCUUUCAUCAUCACACACCAGGGAGGGAGGUCCCAGGAGGGGCGCCACACUUCUCUGCCAGAUGCUCCCUCUCAGCCUUGUGCUCCCAGACCCUGCCUCCCUGAGUCUUCUUCCCAGAGUUCCUGAAGGGUAAGGGCGGGAAGAACUCCAGCAAGAGUGGGGUUCGUGGGACCAGAGGUCAGAGGGCAAAGCCUGGGUUCCAGGUGUGUGGUUCACAGAACCAGGCAACCUGUUGCUAGGUAACCAAUUUCCCAUCAUCCAACCCAACACAUCGUCCUCAGCUGCCUACCCUCGGCUUCCAGCUGGCUUUGGCUGAAUCUCUCAAACACCCACCCUAAAGGAGGAGGAGGGGACAAGCAAGAGCACAGCCCCCAGCACCUUUGAGUCCUCUGUGGCUCUGCCACCCACGAUUUCACUGUGAAGUCAGGUGCCCGGAGCCCGGGCCUUUAGGUCACUGCCACCAUGAGUCUGGGCAUCAUGGAAGAGGAAGACCUGGCUGAAUACUUCCGGCUUCAGUAUGGGGAGCGCCUACUGCAACUGCUGCAGAAGUUCCCCAAUAUGCAAGAACAGUCAGAUUCCCCAUCCAUCCAGCUAUUGGAAAAGAAAAAGGAAGCCAAGAUCAUGCAUCAUGCUAUGGAACAGAAGAAGGAGACAUUUAAGCGCAGAAUGGAAAGCCUCAACCUGCGCUGGGAGGAACUGGGAGUCAAGGAAGAACAGCUGAAAGCCCACAUCCAGAAAUUUGAGCAGUUCAUCCAGGAAAAUGACCAGAAACGGAUCCGAGCCCUGAAGAAAGCCAACAAGGAGCGGGAACUCAAAAGGCAGCGCCUCCGGGAACUGGCUAAGGCCAAGCAGGAGAUGGCGGCCUUGCGGCUGGAGCACCAGCGGCUGAGCGUCAAGCUGCAGAACUACUCCAUCUUCAACAAGUACCUGGAAAAGGUGGUGGAGAACUCCGAGUUUGAGGAGAUCCAUGAGGUGAUCGGACGCUACAAGACGUUGAUGAGCAUGCACCAUGAUCUCAUGCAAUCAGCGCAGGAGAGCCAGGAGCAGAUAGAGCGUGCCAAGGCGCGACUGGCUCGCUACAUGGAGGAAAAGGACGAUGAGAUUCUCCAGCACAACAAUGAGCUGGCGCGGCUGCAGAUGCGCUUUGACCGUGCCCGCAGCGAUGUCAUCAUCUGGGUGAGGCAUCUCAGCUGUGCUGGGCAAGGAAUCUCGCUGGGCACACAUCCAGAAUACAGCAGCCAAGAAGACCCUAUUGCUUGGCACCAUUAAGAUGGCAACGCUGAACCUGUUCCAGAUCGUGAGCAAACAGCUAAAGGAGACAGCCCAAGUAUCCCUGGAGGACACGCACAAACAGCUGGACAUGAUCCAACAGUUUAUCCAAGACCUGUCGGACAUCUGGGCAGAGGUGAAGAGGAAGGAACAGCAGCAAAUCCGGGUGUAAGGGGGCAGCAUGGUUCCAGCAUGUUCUGAGACAGAUAUUGUGAAAAAGCAAGUUCCUGCUGAACUUCAGUCCCAGCCAGCCCUCAUCGUCUUCUGAGGACCCUUGUGACUUUCUGUUUGUGAAUACCUUGCCAUUUUCCCCCAGGGUCUCAGUCCAUCCAAGUCCUGAAAAUAUUAAAUGUUGUUAGAAGUUUGUUCUGAA
Molecule: non-coding RNA, 1715 nt
Organism: Ictidomys tridecemlineatus (thirteen-lined ground squirrel)
Lineage: Eukaryota; Metazoa; Chordata; Mammalia; Rodentia; Sciuridae
Source: RefSeq, a predicted model, not a curated record